Molecule: long non-coding RNA, 710 nt
Filed under: Pan troglodytes (chimpanzee)
Lineage: Eukaryota; Metazoa; Chordata; Mammalia; Primates; Hominidae
Description: lincRNA
Source: RNAcentral
GAAUGGCGUGAACCCGGGAGGCAGAGCUUGCAAUGAGCCAAGAUCGCGCCACUGCACUCCAGCCUGGGCGACAGAGCGAGACUCCGUCUCAGAAAAAAAAAAAAAAAAAAGAAAGAAAGAAAUUGGCUUGGAGAUUUUUCGCCGGCCACUCCUUCUUGAGCCCUGACUGAAAAGAAAAAUGAACAGGGCUACCUUCUGCCUGGACUCACCCAAAAGCCGGUCUCCUGCAGCCUGAAGCUCUUGUACCUCUAGGCUGAAGAUGAUGAGGAUCACAAGGAGGAGGAAGGCUGCCAACUUCAUGUUGCUGUUGGAAGGCUUUGGAAAAACACAGCAGGGCUGAGAGCAGCUGAAAUUUAUACCUUCCACCCGCUGAGCUGGAAUGCAAGGCCAGGGGUGGGACUAGGGACUGCAGACACCUAAGCCCUGCCCAGAAACUGACAUUUCUGGAGAAUAGCCACCCACCCUGUGUACCCUGGGUCCUUCUACAUUACCUAAGCAAGGCUCUGAGCCAAGGGAACACCCUCCUCUGACAGAAAAAUAAGACUCCUACACCAGGCCAGGUGCAGUGGCUCACAUCUGUAAUCCCAGCACUUUGGGAGGCCAAGGCAGGAGGAUCAUUUGAGCCCAGGAGUUCAAGACCAGCCUGGGUAACAAGAGCAAGACCCUGUCUCUACAAAAUUAAAAAAAAAAAAAAGUUAAAUAAUGAAAAA